This 253-nucleotide ribosomal RNA is filed under the name uncultured bacterium. RNAcentral describes it as "partial 16S ribosomal RNA". It matches the Rfam family "Bacterial small subunit ribosomal RNA", at positions 524 to 776 of the family's 1533-position model. The record is from RNAcentral.
UACGGAAGGUGCAAGCGUUGCUCGGAAUCACUGGGCUUAAAGGGCGCGUAGGCGGAUUUGCAAGUCCGUGGUGAAAUCCCACAGCUCAACUGUGGAACUGCCUCGGAUACUGUGAGUCUCGAGGGUGGUAGGGGUAUGCGGAACUAUCGGUGGAGCGGUGAAAUGCGUUGAUAUCGAUAGGAACUCCGGUGGCGAAGGCGGCAUACUGGACCACAUCUGACGCUGAGGCGCGAAAGCCAGGGGAGCAAACGGG